CCUGGUGGAUUAGUGGCGAACGGGUGAGUAACACGUGAGCAAUCUGCCCUUGACUCUGGGAUAAGCGUUGGAAACGACGUCUAAUACCGGAUACGACCCUCGGAGGCAUCUCCUGGGGGUGGAAAGAAUUUUGGUCAAGGAUGAGCUCGCGGCCUAUCAGCUUGUUGGUGAGGUAAUGGCUCACCAAGGCGACGACGGGUAGCCGGCCUGAGAGGGUGACCGGCCACACUGGGACUGAGACACGGCCCAGACUCCUACGGGAGGCAGCAGUGGGGAAUAUUGCACAAUGGGCGAAAGCCUGAUGCAGCAACGCCGCGUGAGGGAUGACGGCCUUCGGGUUGUAAACCUCUUUUAGUAGGGAAGAAGCGAAAGUGACGGUACCUGCAGAAAAAGCACCGGCUAACUACGUGCCAGCAGCCGCGGUAAUACGUAGGGUGCAAGCGUUGUCCGGAAUUAUUGGGCGUAAAGAGCUCGUAGGCGGUUUGUCGCGUCUGCUGUGAAAUCUGGGGGCUCAACCCCCAGCCUGCAGUGGGUACGGGCAGACUAGAGUGCGGUAGGGGAGAUUGGAAUUCCUGGUGUAGCGGUGGAAUGCGCAGAUAUCAGGAGGAACACCGAUGGCGAAGGCAGAUCUCUGGGCCGUAACUGACGCUGAGGAGCGAAAGCAUGGGGAGCGAACAGGAUUAGAUACCCUGGUAGUCCAUGCCGUAAACGUUGGGAACUAGAUGUGGGGACCAUUCCACGGUCUCCGUGUCGCAGCUAACGCAUUAAGUUCCCCGCCUGGGGAGUACGGCCGCAAGGCUAAAACUCAAAGGAAUUGACGGGGGCCCGCACAAGCGGCGGAGCAUGCGGAUUAAUUCGAUGCAACGCGAAGAACCUUACCAAGACUUGACAUAUACGAGAACGGGCCAGAAAUGGUCAACUCUUUGGACACUCGUAAACAGGUGGUGCAUGGUUGUCGUCAGCUCGUGUCGUGAGAUGUUGGGUUAAGUCCCGCAACGAGCGCAACCCUCGUCCUAUGUUGCCAGCACGUAAUGGUGGGAACUCAUGGGAUACUGCCGGGGUCAACUCGGAGGAAGGUGGGGAUGACGUCAAAUCAUCAUGCCCCUUAUGUCUUGGGCUUCACGCAUGCUACAAUGGCCGGUACAAAGGGCUGCGAUACCGUAAGGUGGAGCGAAUCCCAAAAAGCCGGUCUCAGUUCGGAUUGAGGUCUGCAACUCGACCUCAUGAAGUCGGAGUCGCUAGUAAUCGCAGAUCAGCAACGCUGCGGUGAAUACGUUCCCGGGCCUUGUACACACCGCCCGUCAAGUCAUGAAAGUCGGUAACACCCAACGCCAGUGGCCUAACCCC
This 1347-nucleotide ribosomal RNA is filed under the name Microterricola gilva. Its description in RNAcentral is "bacterial SSU rRNA". It matches the Rfam family "Bacterial small subunit ribosomal RNA", at positions 83 to 1442 of the family's 1533-position model. The record is from RNAcentral. Lineage: Bacteria; Bacillati; Actinomycetota; Actinomycetes; Micrococcales; Microbacteriaceae.